RNAcentral lists this transfer RNA (70 nucleotides) under Camelus bactrianus (Bactrian camel). It matches the Rfam family "tRNA". From Rfam's summary of the family: Transfer RNA (tRNA) molecules are approximately 80 nucleotides in length. Their secondary structure includes four short double-helical elements and three loops (D, anti-codon, and T loops). Lineage: Eukaryota; Metazoa; Chordata; Mammalia; Artiodactyla; Camelidae. RNAcentral also lists the same sequence under 2 other names. The record is from Rfam by way of RNAcentral.
GGGUGUAGCUCAGUGGUAGAGCACAUGCUUAGCAUGCAUGAGGUUCUGGGUUCAAUCCCCAGUACCUCCA